UACCAGCUCUUCGAGUGGUGUGGAUGUUUAUUGGGCCUAAAGCAUCCGUAGCUGGCUGGGCAAGUCCCCUGUUAAAUCCACCGAUUUAAUCGUUGGAGUGCGGGGGAUACUGUUCGGCUAGGGGACGGGAGAGGCAGACGGUAUUUUCGGGGUAGGGGUGAAAUCCUAUAAUCCCGAGAAGACCACCAGUGGCGAAGGCUGUCUGCUAGAACGCGCCCGACGGUGAGGGAUGAAAGCUGGGGGAGCGAACCGGAUUAGAUACCCGGGUAGUCCCAGCUGUAAACGAUGCAGGCUAGGUGUUUGGACGGCCACGUGCCGUUCUAGUGCCGCAGGGAAGCCGUUAAGCCUGCCGCCUGGGGAGUACGGCCGCAAGGCUGAAACUUAAAGGAAUUGGCGGGGGAGCACCACAGGGGGUGAAGCUUGCGGUUU
This 429-nucleotide ribosomal RNA is filed under the name uncultured archaeon. RNAcentral describes it as "bacterial SSU rRNA". It matches the Rfam family "Archaeal small subunit ribosomal RNA", at positions 474 to 903 of the family's 1478-position model. The record is from RNAcentral.